AGAUUAGGGUCUGACUCCGGAGAGGGAGCCUGAGAAACGGCUACCACUUCUAAGGAAGGCAGCAGGCGCGCAAAUUACCCAUUCACAGUACGAGGAGGUAGUGAUGAAAAAUACCAAGGUGAGGCCCUAUGGGUUUCGCCAUUGGAAUGAGAACAAUAUAAAUCUUUUAACGAGUAACAAGUGGAGGGCAAGUCUGGUGCCAGCAGCCGCGGUAAUUCCAGCUCCACAAGUGUAUUCCUAUAUUGUUGCGGUUAAAAAGCUCGUAGUUGGAUCUGAGUGCUUAGCGGGUGGUACAGUGUUUCACUGUCACUGCUUCGCGGCACAUAACCGUCGACUGGCUGCUGUUGUUGCUUUCACCGGUGACGGCAGUUAGCUAUCGACAUGUUUACUUUGAACAAAUCAGAGUGCUCAAAACAGGCGUUUCGCUUGUAUGUUUUUGCAUGGAAUAAUAGAAUAGGACCUUGGGUCUAUUUUGUUGGUUUUCGGAAUCAAGGUAAUGAUUAAGAGGGACAGACGGGGGCACUCGUACUGCAACGGGAGAGGUGAAAUUCUUGGAUCGUUGCAAGACGAACUACUGCGAAAGCAUUUGCCAAGAAUGUUUUCAUUAAUCAAGAACGAAAGUAACGGGUUCGAAGGCGAUCAGAUACCGCCCUAGUCGUUACCGUAAACGAUUGUAACCGGGAGCUAGCAGGCGCUUUACUAUGGCUCUGCUAGAACCCACCCGGAAACGAAGAGUUUUCGAUAUCCGGGGGAAGUAUACUUGCAAAUGUGAAACUUAAAGGAAUUGACGGAAGGGCACCACCAGGGGUGGAGCCUGCGGCUUAAUUUGACCCAACACGGGGAAACUCAUCCGGUCCGGACACCGUAAGGAUUGACAGAUUGAGAGCUCUUUCUUGAUUUGGUGGGCAGUGGUGCAUGGCCGUUCUUAGUUGGUGGAGUGAUUUGUCUGGUUUAUUCCGAUAACGAACGAGACUCUAGCCUACUAACUAGUUAUGCGAUCUUCUUGUCGUAUUAACUUCUUAGAGGGACAAGCGGUGCUCAGCCGCAUGAAAAAGAGCAAUAACGGGUCUGUGAUGCCCUUCGAUGUUCGGAGCUGUACGCGCGCUACACUGUAGAAUGCAACGUGCUAGCUUGCCUCGCUCGCAAGAGUGGGGUAAUCGGUUGAAAUUUCUACGUGAUUGGGAUAGGGACUUGUAAUUAUUUCCCUUGAACGAGGAAUCCCUAGUAAGUGCAGGUCAUCAGCUUGUGCUGAUUACGUCCCUGCCCUUUGUACACACCGCCCGUCGCUGCCCGGAGCUGAGCCAUUUCGAGAAAAAUGGGGACUGAUUGCUUGUGAGCACGCAAGUGCUUCUUGCAGUCGGAAACCAUCUUGAUCGGUAUGGCUUGAACCGGGCAAAAGUCGUAACAAGGUU
This 1412-nucleotide ribosomal RNA is filed under the name metagenome. RNAcentral describes it as "SSU rRNA". It matches the Rfam family "Eukaryotic small subunit ribosomal RNA", at positions 367 to 1801 of the family's 1831-position model. The record is from RNAcentral.